RNAcentral lists this non-coding RNA (77 nucleotides) under Actinokineospora terrae. Lineage: Bacteria; Bacillati; Actinomycetota; Actinomycetes; Pseudonocardiales; Pseudonocardiaceae. The record is from RNAcentral.
UUGAGCCGGAUGCGGUGAAAGUCGCAAGUCCGGUUCUGAGGGGGCGGGGACGCAGUAAUGCGUCCCCGCUACCCGGC